This is a long non-coding RNA of Xiphophorus hellerii (green swordtail), 678 nucleotides long. RefSeq lists it as uncharacterized. The record is from RefSeq and is a predicted model, not a curated record. The transcript has 3 exons. NCBI's taxonomy places the organism in Eukaryota, Metazoa, Chordata, Actinopteri, Cyprinodontiformes, Poeciliidae.
CUGCUGUGACGUCUGCUCGUGUCUGUGCGGCUGACAGAAGACUGCUCUGCUGCACUGCUGCACUUCCUCUCGCUGCUCAAGAGCAGAAAAAUGCAACACUAAUGUCUGCUGUUUUACUUUUUAACUAACUAGGAGGAACAACACCGGUUUACUAAGCGCUCCAUCUUACACGAAGCUGUGAGGGAACGUGAGAAUGUCAAAGGGGCUGACAUUUAUCGGCACCACCCCCACCACCAACGCUUUUAAAAAACUUUUCUCAUCCCUGUUCAGGACCUUCGGCUGGAGACGCCGCUUUCUGGCUCUUCAACAGACGUGGAUGUUGUUGCCACAGAAACAGCACAGUGUUGACAUCACAGUGCUUCAAGUGGUCUGCUGUGGAGACCAAAAAGCCAAAGCCUGAUCACCACCUGACUCCUCGGAGGUUUGCGAGAAGCUGUUAGCCUCCAGCUCUGGACACAAGCUGAAACAUGCAUGAAACACAGAAGAAAAAAAGCACACACACACGCACACACACAUAUGCUUAUACCCUUGUGUUUUGGAGAGAAGAUAAUGACGUGAACUGGCGCAUGUGCUUGUGUCUGCUUAAUGGCUGCAUUGCUGAAACAACAUGGGAUGAACUUUGGUCUGUUGUAAACAUUUUACGGGUGUGUAAACAUGCAGUGUGGAAAUGUAUGAUGA